AUUGGGCCUAAAGCGUCCGUAGCCGGUUUAAUAAGUCUCUGGUGAAAUCCUGCAGCUUAACUGUGGGAAUUGCUGGAGAUACUAUUAGACUUGAGACCGGGAGAGGUUAGAGGUACUCCCAGGGUAGAGGUGAAAUUCUGUAAUCCUGGGAGGACCGCCUGUUGCGAAGGCGUCUAACUGGAACGGUUCUGACGGUGAGGGACGAAAGUUAGGGGCGCGAACCGGAUUAGAUACCCGGGUAGUCCUAACUGUAAACGAUGCGGACUUGGUGUUGGGGUGGCUUUUGAGCUGCUUCAGUGCCGAAGGGAAGCUGUUAAGUCCGCCGCCUGGGAAGUACGGUCGCAAGACUGAAACUUAAGGAAUUGGCGGGGGAGCACCACAACGCGUGGAGCCUGCCGGUUUAAUUGGAUUCAACGCCGGACAUCUCACCAGAGGCGACAGCUGUAUGAUAGCCAGGUUGAUGACUUUGCUUGACUAGCUGAGAGGUGGUGCAUGG
RNAcentral lists this ribosomal RNA (496 nucleotides) under uncultured archaeon. RNAcentral describes it as "bacterial SSU rRNA". It matches the Rfam family "Archaeal small subunit ribosomal RNA", at positions 503 to 997 of the family's 1478-position model. The record is from RNAcentral.